GUCUCAGGCAGCCUGCUCCUUAGCUUUCCAGAAUAGGAAAGUCACAUUUACACUAAGUACUGAAUUUACAGAGGCUUUUUAUUUCCAAUAUUGCACUAAUACUGAAUUUAUUUAUUUAUUUAGAAUGCAUGCUCCCUCAUUUCACUUUCACCUUCUGCAGUGAAGUCAUGCUUCUUGUGGCUGUGACCCCAGAAUCAGUUGCUAGAGAAAUAAAUGUGGUGGCACAGAUUAAAUCACAGAUUUCAGCACAGAAUUGAGUGCAUGGACAAAGGAGAAGAUAAGUGCCUUUCUAAAAUAGAUACAUUUAUUAGAAAAAUCCAUUUGUUUUUGUCAGCUCUGUUUGAACAGAUUGUUCCAGAAUCAAAAUCUCCACUUAAUAGCAAUAUAUAUAUAUAUAUUUAAAUUUUGCAGUGAUCUUGUGCUCCUGGGUCUUGCCUAGUUUCCACUUAGAUAAGCUGAGAGGUUUACGCUACUUUCAAUGGACUUUGUUUAAAACCUCUGUUAGAAACUCCUCGUGUCUGGCAUUGCUAAACUGAGAAGGCAGUAUUGAAAAUAGGAGUUUGUCAUGUAACUCGCUUUCAGAGAACCCAGAUCCAGAGUGUGCUGGACUCUGCUUAUCUAUUCUCUCAGCCUCUCUUAAAUGCAAAGGGAGAUAAUCUUUUCCUAGAAGCACUUAGAACAAGAUUUUAAACCAUGAGUGCUGAGGUAUCAGAGUUCCUUUUUACCCAAAUAUCUGGAAAUAUGGCCUUCCUUGUGAUGUUCCUACACAAUUUUAGCACAAAUGUAACAAUUAUAUCUGCAAAUGAGAAAAAUAUAUUCUGCAAUAAGACUUGCCUGGACUGCAAAUUAAAAUGUUUAAAGAACAUCAUUCUUUAGUUUUAGGCUCACCUGUAGUGGAAUGUGAUUUAGUAGAUUCCUUGUCUACUUCUUGCUCAGCAUUUGCUGUCUAAACAUAGGAUGUGCUGCUCAGGUCAGUGUGCUUGCUUUCACUGUUAGGGAGAAGAUGGCAGCUCUGAAGGGAGCAGGAUGAAGCCAAAUACUGAACUGCGUGCUGGAGGCUGCUGUUGACUACAGAUGGAGUUGAAGUGAUCAGCUGAGAUCCACUUCUAGAUGGGUAAAGCCAGUUUGAGUGCGCUUACGUGUCUUCCAUGGGAAGAGGAGCAAUGCUUUGCCAUGAACACUGCCCACCAAAUUGGAAGAAGAUAUAAUGAAUCUUCUCUGCAUCACAAGAAAAAGGCUACUCAAUCUUAAAACAACAUUUUAAUCUCAGUCAAAAAGGGGCAUCUUCAACAUAAGGCUGUCUGCAGUCAUGGGCAUGUCUCAAACGUUAGCAAACAUCAUAUUUGAUGCUUCUUCCUCUGCCCAAGAAUAUAACUUUAUCAAAAGGAAAUUUCCUACUCAUUUGAGCAGUCUCCAUAGCAACAGCGCUGUACACCUGUGAUGUAUGGGCACAGGCUGUUACAACCUAUGAACUAGCUGGAGUGAGCUGUGCCCCACCCCCUGCCAAAGCCAGAGUACGUCUCCCAUGUAUCCAUGGCACCUGGUUCUCCG
This is a long non-coding RNA of Tympanuchus pallidicinctus (lesser prairie-chicken), 1551 nucleotides long. RefSeq lists it as uncharacterized. The transcript is spliced from 4 exons. Lineage: Eukaryota; Metazoa; Chordata; Aves; Galliformes; Phasianidae. The record is from RefSeq and is a predicted model, not a curated record.